UACGGAGGGUGCAAGCGUUAUCCGGAUUCACUGGGUUUAAAGGGUGCGUAGGUGGGUCUGUAAGUCCGUGGUGAAAUCUCCGAGCUUAACUUGGAAACUGCCAUGGAUACUAUAGGUCUUGAAUACUGUGGAGGCUAGCGGAAUAUGUCAUGUAGCGGUGAAAUGCUUAGAUAUGACAUAGAACACCAAUUGCGAAGGCAGCUGGCUACACAAAUAUUGACACUGAGGCACGAAAGCGUGGGGAUCAAACAGG
Molecule: ribosomal RNA, 253 nt
Filed under: uncultured bacterium
Lineage: Bacteria
Description: partial 16S ribosomal RNA
Rfam family: Bacterial small subunit ribosomal RNA
Source: RNAcentral